This 3071-nucleotide ribosomal RNA is filed under the name Campylobacter jejuni. RNAcentral describes it as "bacterial LSU rRNA". It matches the Rfam family "Bacterial large subunit ribosomal RNA". RNAcentral also lists the same sequence under 2 other names. Lineage: Bacteria; Pseudomonadati; Campylobacterota; Epsilonproteobacteria; Campylobacterales; Campylobacteraceae. The record is from RNAcentral.
AAAAAAGGUAAGCUACUAAGAGCGAAUGGUGGAUGCCUUGACUGGUAAAGGCGAUGAAGGACGUACUAGACUGCGAUAAGCUACGGGGAGCUGUCAAGAAGCUUUGAUCCGUAGAUUUCCGAAUGGGGCAACCCAAUGUAUAGAGAUAUACAUUACCUAUAUAGGAGCGAACGAGGGGAAUUGAAACAUCUUAGUACCCUCAGGAAAAGAAAUCAAUAGAGAUUGCGUCAGUAGCGGCGAGCGAAAGCGCAAGAGGGCAAACCCAGUGCUUGCACUGGGGGUUGUAGGACUGCAAUGUGCAAGAGGUAAGUUUAGCAGAACAUUCUGGAAAGUAUAACCAUAGAGGGUGAUAGUCCCGUAUGCGAAAAACAAACCUUAGCUAGCAGUAUCCUGAGUAGGGCGGGACACGAGGAAUCCUGUCUGAAUCCGGGUCGACCACGAUCCAACCCUAAAUACUAAUACCAGAUCGAUAGUGCACAAGUACCGUGAGGGAAAGGUGAAAAGAACUGAGGUGAUCAGAGUGAAAUAGAACCUGAAACCAUUUGCUUACAAUCAUUCAGAGCCCUAUGUAGCAAUACAGGGUGAUGGACUGCCUUUUGCAUAAUGAGCCUGCGAGUUGUGGUGUCUGGCAAGGUUAAGCAAACGCGAAGCCGUAGCGAAAGCGAGUCUGAAUAGGGCGCUUAGUCAGAUGCUGCAGACCCGAAACGAAGUGAUCUAUCCAUGAGCAAGUUGAAGCUAGUGUAAGAACUAGUGGAGGACUGAACCCAUAGGCGUUGAAAAGCCCCGGGAUGACUUGUGGAUAGGGGUGAAAGGCCAAUCAAACUUCGUGAUAGCUGGUUCUCUCCGAAAUAUAUUUAGGUAUAGCGUUGUGUCGUAAUAUAAGGGGGUAGAGCACUGAAUGGGCUAGGGCAUACACCAAUGUACCAAACCCUAUCAAACUCCGAAUACCUUAUAUGUAAUCACAGCAGUCAGGCGGCGAGUGAUAAAAUCCGUCGUCAAGAGGGAAACAACCCAGACUACCAGCUAAGGUCCCUAAAUCUUACUUAAGUGGAAAACGAUGUGAAGUUACUUAAACAACCAGGAGGUUGGCUUAGAAGCAGCCAUCCUUUAAAGAAAGCGUAAUAGCUCACUGGUCUAGUGAUUUUGCGCGGAAAAUAUAACGGGGCUAAAGUAAGUACCGAAGCUGUAGACUUGCACACAACUUAGAUUAUUUAAGUUUAGAAUAUGAGAAACUAAGUUAUAUGUUUAGUUAUAUUUUUACUGAUUUUUAUAGAGUAAAGAUAGAAAUAAAACUUAGUAAAAUCAGUAAAAAUAUUCUUAGACUAAAGUUAAGUAGUUUAAGUUGUGUGCAAGUGGUAGGAGAGCGUUCUAUUUGCGUCGAAGGUAUACCGGUAAGGAGUGCUGGAGCGAAUAGAAGUGAGCAUGCAGGCAUGAGUAGCGAUAAUUAAUGUGAGAAUCAUUAACGCCGUAAACCCAAGGUUUCCUACGCGAUGCUCGUCAUCGUAGGGUUAGUCGGGUCCUAAGUCGAGUCCGAAAGGGGUAGACGAUGGCAAAUUGGUUAAUAUUCCAAUACCAACAUUAGUGUGCGAUGGAAGGACGCUUAGGGCUAAGGGGGCUAGCGGAUGGAAGUGCUAGUCUAAGGUCGUAGGAGGUUGUACAGGCAAAUCCGUAUAACAAUACUCCGAGAACUGAAAGGCUUUUUGAAGUCUUCGGAUGGAUAGAAGAACCCCUGAUGCCGUCGAGCCAAGAAAAGUUUCUAAGUUUAGCUAAUGUUGCCCGUACCGUAAACCGACACAGGUGGGUGGGAUGAGUAUUCUAAGGCGCGUGGAAGAACUCUCUUUAAGGAACUCUGCAAAAUAGCACCGUAUCUUCGGUAUAAGGUGUGGUUAGCUUUGUAUUAGGAUUUACUCCGAAAGCAAGGAAACUUACAACAAAGAGUCCCUCCCGACUGUUUACCAAAAACACAGCACUCUGCUAACUCGUAAGAGGAUGUAUAGGGUGUGACGCCUGCCCGGUGCUCGAAGGUUAAUUGAUGGGGUUAGCAUUAGCGAAGCUCUUGAUCGAAGCCCGAGUAAACGGCGGCCGUAACUAUAACGGUCCUAAGGUAGCGAAAUUCCUUGUCGGUUAAAUACCGACCUGCAUGAAUGGCGUAACGAGAUGGGAGCUGUCUCAAAGAGGGAUCCAGUGAAAUUGUAGUGGAGGUGAAAAUUCCUCCUACCCGCGGCAAGACGGAAAGACCCCGUGGACCUUUACUACAGCUUGACACUGCUACUUGGAUAAGAAUGUGCAGGAUAGGUGGGAGGCUUUGAGUAUAUGACGCCAGUUGUAUAUGAGCCAUUGUUGAGAUACCACUCUUUCUUAUUUGGGUAGCUAACCAGCUUGAGUUAUCCUCAAGUGGGACAAUGUCUGGUGGGUAGUUUGACUGGGGCGGUCGCCUCCCAAAUAAUAACGGAGGCUUACAAAGGUUGGCUCAGAACGGUUGGAAAUCGUUCGUAGAGUAUAAAGGUAUAAGCCAGCUUAACUGCAAGACAUACAAGUCAAGCAGAGACGAAAGUCGGUCUUAGUGAUCCGGUGGUUCUGUGUGGAAGGGCCAUCGCUCAAAGGAUAAAAGGUACCCCGGGGAUAACAGGCUGAUCUCCCCCAAGAGCUCACAUCGACGGGGAGGUUUGGCACCUCGAUGUCGGCUCAUCGCAUCCUGGGGCUGGAGCAGGUCCCAAGGGUAUGGCUGUUCGCCAUUUAAAGCGGUACGCGAGCUGGGUUCAGAACGUCGUGAGACAGUUCGGUCCCUAUCUGCCGUGGGCGUAAGAAGAUUGAAGAGAUUUGACCCUAGUACGAGAGGACCGGGUUGAACAAACCACUGGUGUAGCUGUUGUUCUGCCAAGAGCAUCGCAGCGUAGCUAAGUUUGGAAAGGAUAAACGCUGAAAGCAUCUAAGCGUGAAGCCAACUCUAAGAUGAAUCUUCUCUAAGCUCUCUAGAAGACUACUAGUUUGAUAGGCUGGGUGUGUAAUGGAUGAAAGUCCUUUAGCUGACCAGUACUAAUAGAGCGUUUGGCUUAUCUUUAAUAAAGCAU